Molecule: unclassified non-coding RNA, 380 nt
Filed under: uncultured bacterium
Lineage: Bacteria
Description: contains 16S-23S intergenic spacer region
Source: RNAcentral
UCACAGUUUGCACUGGCAGUCUUGUUGGAGUUCCCGACUUGACUCGCUGGCAACUAACAACAGGGGUUGCGCUCGUUAUAGGACUUAACCUGACACCUCACGGCACGAGCUGACGACAACCAUGCAGCACCUCGACUAGUGUCCCUUGCGGGAAAAAAGACUUUCAUCCCCUGUCACUAGCCGUUCGAGCCCAGGUAAGGUUCUUCGCGUUGCGUCGAAUUAAACCACAUGCUCCACCGCUUGUGCGGGCCCCCGUCAAUUCCUUUGAGUUUCAACCUUGCGGCCGUACUUCCCAGGCGGAAUACUUAAUGGGUUACCUACGGUACCGCAGGGGUCAAUACCCGCGACACCUAGCAUUCAUCGUUUACGGCGUGGACUAC